Molecule: long non-coding RNA, 620 nt
Organism: Passer domesticus (house sparrow)
Lineage: Eukaryota; Metazoa; Chordata; Aves; Passeriformes; Passeridae
Exons: 4
Source: RefSeq, a predicted model, not a curated record
UCAAGUAUACACACAUCUCAGUCACUAUACACAAAGAUAUAGGUAGUUUUAGUGAGUUUGGCUAAACAGCUGAUUUCUUUGUCACCUUGGCCACUGUCUGGUCCUUCUGACCUUCCAUCUCUCCUGAGGCCCUGUGCUGAAGCUGGGGCAGGUAAAGCACUCCUGAAUCUUGCCAGGCAAAAAUAUAUGUCUCCCCUAGAAGAAAAAGUAAUGGGAAAUUUUGACCUGUAGAUAUGUGUGAACAUAUUACAGGCUCAACUGAAGCUGAUCCCCAUGUAGACAGGCAGUACAUCAAAUUCCCUGCUCAGUAUCUCAUUCUGGAAACUAUGUUUACUGAGAACAGUCACAGAAGCAUCCCAAGUGAGAAAGGAGCAGAACAGGGAAGGGUGGUCCAGUGUGCCUGUAAGUCUGCUGGGGAGGCAUCCCACAUGCUGGUAUGGGAACGGGAAUCCACCCAAGGCAGAGGAAGCAAAGUGCCUGUGAAGUCUGACCUCACUGGCAGCACAGACCAGUAGCAGCUGUAUAAUUUCCAAGUACAUCACCUCACAACUGGACAAAGCAUUGUUCUUCCCAUGAGACCAUCAGCACCAUAAUGGAUGCGACUCUGCAUGAGCAAGUCU